GCUGGGCGUGGUGGCUCAUGCCUUUAGUCCCAGCUACUUGGGAGGCUGAGGCAGAAGAAUCGCUUGAACCCGGGAGGCAGAGGUUGCGGUGAGCCGAGAUCACGCCACCGCACUCCAGCCUGGGUGACAGAGCGAGACUCUGUCUCAA
Molecule: non-coding RNA, 148 nt
Filed under: Gorilla gorilla gorilla (western lowland gorilla)
Lineage: Eukaryota; Metazoa; Chordata; Mammalia; Primates; Hominidae
Source: Rfam by way of RNAcentral